This 487-nucleotide ribosomal RNA is filed under the name uncultured bacterium. RNAcentral describes it as "SSU rRNA". It matches the Rfam family "Bacterial small subunit ribosomal RNA", at positions 26 to 521 of the family's 1533-position model. The record is from RNAcentral.
AGAGCGAACGCUGGCGGCGUGCUUAACACAUGCAAGUCGAACGAGGUCUGUAGCAAUACAGAUACUCGUGGCGAACGGGUGCGUAACACGUGGAUAACCUUCCUUCAGGUGGGGAAUAACCCAGUGAAAAUUGGGCUAAUACCGCAUAACAUGACGAUGCCACAUGGUGUUGUCUUCAAAGGCGCAAGUCGCCAGAAGAGGGAUCCGCGGCCGAUUAGCUAGUUGGCGAGGUAAUGGCUCACCAAGGCAAUGAUCGGUAGCCGGACUGAGAGGUUGGCCGGCCACACUGGAACUGAGACACGGUCCAGACUCCUACGGGAGGCAGCAGUGGGGAAUCUUGCACAAUGGACGAAAGUCUGAUGCAGCAACGCCGCGUGGGGAUGAAGCUUUUCGGAGUGUAAACCCCUUUCGACCCGGAAGAAAGCCCGCAAGGGUUUGACGGUACGGGUAUAAGAAGCCCGGCUAACUACGUGCCAGCAGCCGCGGU